AUUCCAGGACUCUCACUCAUAUCAACUGGAGUGUCAGAUACCGUCCCCAAUUCAAACCCAUGAAGCAGCCGAGCCAGUGUUAGGUGCAAAACCCGGAGCGCCAAUGAUACUCCUGGGCACAUUCUUCUACCAGAGCUGAAAGGGUCACGGUGUAAUUUCCACAGGUUAACGAAAAGGCGAGUGCCAGCUGGAAUGUGGAAGCCCGCUAUGGUGCAAUCCUCCAUGGCUUCCCUUGGUGCUGAGAGUGGAGCAGCAGGGUUCAGUCUCAAUGUUUCAUUGACAAUAGCUUAUAUGUUGCCUUCUCAUCCUGCUAAGACACUAAUACACGUAAGUUCCACAACGCACAAAGUUAAAUUUAGCAUGCAAGUGACAGGUGAGUAUAGCAACUUCUUUUGUCUGGUAUUAAAAGUAUAGAAGAAAGUGGAUGCUUUUAUACACAAAUCUGUAUUGGACAUAGGAGGAUGAAAUGUUGGUCUCUAUAUUAAACCUCAAAAUUGCUAUUAUCCAAGUGUUUGUUUUUAACUGUAGGAAGAUAAUAUAACAUUGAAUUUACAUUAAUUUUAAUAUUUAAUCCCAUAAUUAUUCAUUGUAAAUAAAGAGAUUAAUACAUGAACUAAAAAAUCUAAGAAAAAGUAAAUACAUAGUCUAGGAUUUGAAUCUUGAUCAAUAAAUGGGAAGGAAAACCAUUUACCAAUUGAGUUGUUUCAUACCAUUUAUCUGGAAUGCCAUUUGGUAUUCCACUGGUAUAACUAUACUAAACUGUAUAAGAGAUUCAUUUCAAUUUAAAAUUACUAGGUGAUCACACUUACUGGUUUAACUUACUGAUAUAAUAAUCAAUUUAAAAAGGAAAAAUUAAUGAUAGUGCAUCUCUUGGUUUAGGAAUAGACUCAAAUUCGGGCUUCCUCCCUAAUAUAUUAAAAAAGAAAAAGAGGAAAAAUUAUUAGAUUCUUACCAAGCAAGUGCCCUUAAUAGUUCUAUCAAUUUCAUCAAUAGAGCUCUUACCAUCAUCCAUGACAGAAAGCAUAACAUGGAUGAAAUCUUGAUCCUCCCCUUUAACACUUCCUUUAAGCCUCUUUCUCUAUGCUCCUUUACCCACUUCCCUAAAGCACUAUCUAUCUCCCUUGCAGUCCUUUUCAUUUCACCAACAUAUCCCAUUAAAGAAUCCAACCAACCCAGAAAUGGAAUUGCAUCAGAAACCAAGAGCAACCCAGCUAAA
Molecule: non-coding RNA, 1216 nt
Organism: Jatropha curcas
Lineage: Eukaryota; Viridiplantae; Streptophyta; Magnoliopsida; Malpighiales; Euphorbiaceae
Source: RefSeq, a predicted model, not a curated record